RNAcentral lists this ribosomal RNA (144 nucleotides) under uncultured eukaryote. RNAcentral's name for it is "partial 18S ribosomal RNA". It matches the Rfam family "Eukaryotic small subunit ribosomal RNA", at positions 1299 to 1458 of the family's 1831-position model. The record is from RNAcentral.
UGGUGGAGUGAUUUGUCUGGUUAAUUCCGUUAACGAACGAGACCUCGACCUGCUAAAUAGUUUGGCGAAUUCCAACGUGGAUUCGUACAUAACUUCUUAGAGGGACUAUCGGUUGCAAGCCGGUGGAAGUUCGAGGCAAUAACA